UACAGAGGGGCAAGCGUUGUUCGGAAUUACUGGGCGUAAAGGGCGCGUAGGCGGCCUUCUAAGUCGAACGUGAAAUCCCCGGGCUCAACCCGGGAACUGCGUCCGAUACUGGAAGGCUUGAAUCCGGGAGAGGGAUGCGGAAUUCCAGGUGUAGCGGUGAAAUGCGUAGAUAUCUGGAGGAACACCGGUGGCGAAGGCGGCAUCCUGGACCGGCAUUGACGCUGAGGCGCGAAAGCGUGGGGAGCAAACAGG
Molecule: ribosomal RNA, 252 nt
Filed under: uncultured bacterium
Lineage: Bacteria
Description: partial 16S ribosomal RNA
Rfam family: Bacterial small subunit ribosomal RNA
Source: RNAcentral